This 377-nucleotide ribosomal RNA is filed under the name uncultured eukaryote. Its description in RNAcentral is "partial 18S ribosomal RNA". It matches the Rfam family "Eukaryotic small subunit ribosomal RNA", at positions 592 to 976 of the family's 1831-position model. The record is from RNAcentral.
CAAUAGCGUAUAUUUAAGUUGCUGCAGUUAAAAAGCUCGUAGUUGGAUUUCGGGUGGGAAUGGCCGGUCCGCCGUUUCGGUGUGCACUUGCUACGCCCACCUUGCUGCCGGGGACGUGCUCUUGAGUUCACGCUCGGGACACGGAGUCGGCGAGGUUACUUUGAGUAAAUUAGAGUGUUCAAAGCAGGCCUACGCUCUGAAUACAUUAGCAUGGAAUAACACGAUAGGACUCUGGCCUAUCUUGUUGGUCUGUAGGACCGGGGUAAUGAUUAAGAGGGACAGUCGGGGGCAUUCGUAUUUCAUUGUCAGAGGUGAAAUUCUUGGAUUUAUGAAAGACGAACUACUGCGAAAGCAUUUGCCAAGGAUGUUUUCAUUAA